RNAcentral lists this ribosomal RNA (1472 nucleotides) under Ferroplasma acidiphilum. RNAcentral describes it as "16S ribosomal RNA". It matches the Rfam family "Archaeal small subunit ribosomal RNA". Lineage: Archaea; Methanobacteriati; Thermoplasmatota; Thermoplasmata; Thermoplasmatales; Ferroplasmaceae. The record is from RNAcentral. RNAcentral also lists the same sequence under 1 other name.
ACUCCGGUUGAUCCUGCCGGCGGCCACUGCUAUCAAGUUCCGACUAAGCCAUGCGAGUCAAGGUAUCGUAAGAUGCCGGCAAACUGCUCAGUAACACGUGGAUAAUCUAACCUUGAGUAAGGGAUAACUUCGGGAAACUGAAGGUAAUACCUUAUAAUUGCUUAAAACUGGAAUGUUUUUGCAAUAAAAGUUACGACGCUCAAGGAUGAGUCUGCGACCUAUCAGGUAGUAGGUGGUGUAAUGGACCACCUAGCCUCAGACGGGUACGGGCCCUGGGAGGGGUAGCCCGGAGAUGGACUCUGAGACAUAAGUCCAGGCCCUACGGGGCGCAGCAGGCGCGAACACUGUGCAAUGCGCGAAAGCGCGACACGGGGAGCUUGAGUGUCUUGGCAUAGCCAAGACUUUUCUCAUUCCUAAAAAGCAUGAGGAAUAAGUGCUGGGUAAGACGGGUGCCAGCCGCCGCGGUAACACCCGCAGCACGAGUAGUGGUCACUUUUAUUGAGCCUAAAGCGUUCGUAGCCGGUUUUGUAAAUCUUCAGAUAAAGCCUGAAGCUUAACUCCAGAAAGUCUGAAGAGACUGCAAGACUUGAGAUCGGGUGAGGUUAAACGUACUUUCAGGGUAGGGGUAAAAUCCUGUAAUCCCGGAAGGACGACCAGUGGCGAAAGCGUUUAACUAGAACGAAUCUGACGGUAAGGAACGAAGGCUAGGGUAGCAAACCGGAUUAGAUACCCGGGGGUAGUCCUAGCUGUAAACAUUGCCCAUUUGAUGUUGCUUUUCCGUUGAGGGAAGGCAGUGUCGGAGCGAAGGUGUUAAAUGGGCCGCUUGGGAAGUAUGGUCGCAAGACUGAAACUUAAAGGAAUUGGCGGGGGAGCACCGCAACGGGAGGAAUGUGCGGUUUAAUUGGAUUCAACGCCGGAAAACUCACCGGGAACGACCUGUGCAUGAGAGUCAACCUGACGAGCUUACUCGAUAGCAGGAGAGGUGGUGCAUGGCCGUCGUCAGCUCGUACCGUAGGGCGUUCACUUAAGUGUGAUAACGAGCGAGACCCACAUCUUUAAUUGCAAAUGUAUAUGAGAAUAUGCAUGCACUUUAGAGAAACCGCCAGCGCUAAGCUGGAGGAAGGAGUGGUCGACGGCAGGUCAGUACGCCCCGAAUUUCCCGGGCUACACGCGCAUUACAAAGAACGGGACAAUACGUUGCAACCUCGAAAGAGGAAGCUAAUCGCGAAACCCGUCCAUAGUUAGGAUUGAGGGCUGUAACUCGCCCUCAUGAAUCUGGAUUCCGUAGUAAUCGCGGGUCAACAACCCGCGGUGAACAUGCCCCUGCUCCUUGCACACACCGCCCGUCAAACCAUCCGAGUUGGUGUUGGAUGAGGUUUAAUUCGAGAGGGUUAAAUCAAAUCUGAUGUCGGUGAGGAGGGUUAAGUCGUAACAAGGUAUCCGUAGGGGAACCUGCGGAUGGAUCACCUCCA